Molecule: long non-coding RNA, 838 nt
Organism: Tupaia belangeri chinensis (Chinese tree shrew)
Lineage: Eukaryota; Metazoa; Chordata; Mammalia; Scandentia; Tupaiidae
Exons: 2
Source: RefSeq, a predicted model, not a curated record
CUCGGGGGGCGCCCUGUCUGCGCCCUCCCCACGCCGGGACCCUUCGACUCCACCAAGCCCUGGGAACGAAGAGUGAGUCAUUCGGUUGACAAUUUCCUGCUUCAUUCCUAAGGGGACUCUUCUCCCUCACCAAGAGAGGCUGCUGCUGGCUGGGACAGUUGCUGCGUCCACACCUUCUACUUUUCCUCCACAUUCAGAACUGUGCUGUGUCCCCAGGAGGGGUGGAACCCGAAUACUGACUGCCCACCAGCUGCCCAGCUCGCUCGUGGCCUGUGCUAUUUUUUUCAGCGAGUGGUGGUGAUUCCAUGAGCCACCAUCUAUGACGAUGACGCCGACCGAGCAGCCACUGCGUGUGCCAGACUCUCACUGCACACACCCCCACCCCCGCCUUGGGUUAGUUGAGUUCCACAGCUGCUCUCCGAGGAGGACAUUGUGAUACCUUCAUGACCAUUUACAGAUGGGGCUAGCGAGAUGUAGAAAGAAAGCUUAGAAAAGCACGUUUCCUUGCCCCAGAUCAUCCAAGUGGCAAGAGGUUGCCUGGAAGAAGGACCACACAUCAUCCUGUAUGCCGAUCGCUAGGCAGCGCUACCUCGAGAACGCCGCAGCUCUAGGCUGCUGGCAUGAGAAGGGAGUGGGCAGGUCAGUGAGCCCAGAGGGGCCAGCCUGGUCCCAGCCCUUGCUGAGGACAAUGCAAAGGGACAAAAUCAUCAUUCUGCAAAUCGUUUUAGCCAUUUCGCUGGGGAUGUUUUACAGCCUUACCUCGCAUGAUAUAUACCACAAUAAAUAUCAGGUAGAUUGAAAAGUUAAAUAUAGGAAAUAAACACUGCAAAAAAAAAAA